RNAcentral lists this ribosomal RNA (451 nucleotides) under uncultured bacterium. Its description in RNAcentral is "bacterial SSU rRNA". It matches the Rfam family "Bacterial small subunit ribosomal RNA", at positions 28 to 505 of the family's 1533-position model. The record is from RNAcentral.
GGUGAACGCUGGCGGUGCGCCUAAUACAUGCAAGUCGAACGAGACGACUGAGAAGUUUACUUUUCAGUCUGAAAGUGGCGGACGAGCGAGUAACACGUAAGUAUCUGCCCCGUACUCAGGGAUAACUGGUCGAAAGAUCAGCUAAUACCGGAUGGUCCAGCAAUGGUAAAGAUUUAUCGGUACGGGAGGAGCUUGCGGCUUAUCAGUUUGUUGGUGGGGUAAAGGCCUACCAAGACUAUGACGAGUAGCUGGUGUGAGAGCAUGACCAGCCGCGAUGGAACUGAGACACGGUCCAUACUCCUACGGGAGGCAGCAGUAAGGAAUCUUCCGCAAUGGGCGAAAGCCUGACGGAGCGACACCGCGUGGUGGAUGACGGCCUAUGGGUUGUAAACACCUUUUCUAUGGGAAGAAGAUCUGACGGUACCAUAGGAAUAAGCCCCGGCUAAUUACG